Molecule: ribosomal RNA, 577 nt
Filed under: Trichoderma asperellum
Lineage: Eukaryota; Fungi; Ascomycota; Sordariomycetes; Hypocreales; Hypocreaceae
Description: eukaryotic LSU rRNA
Rfam family: 5.8S ribosomal RNA (bases 220-373)
Source: RNAcentral
UUUUUUGCCGGGGGGGGGGGAUCGGAGGGAUCAUUACCGAGUUUACAACUCCCAAACCCAAUGUGAACGUUACCAAACUGUUGCCUCGGCGGGGUCACGCCCCGGGUGCGUCGCAGCCCCGGAACCAGGCGCCCGCCGGAGGAACCAACCAAACUCUUUCUGUAGUCCCCUCGCGGACGUAUUUCUUACAGCUCUGAGCAAAAAUUCAAAAUGAAUCAAAACUUUCAACAACGGAUCUCUUGGUUCUGGCAUCGAUGAAGAACGCAGCGAAAUGCGAUAAGUAAUGUGAAUUGCAGAAUUCAGUGAAUCAUCGAAUCUUUGAACGCACAUUGCGCCCGCCAGUAUUCUGGCGGGCAUGCCUGUCCGAGCGUCAUUUCAACCCUCGAACCCCUCCGGGGGAUCGGCGUUGGGGAUCGGGACCCCUCACACGGGUGCCGGCCCCGAAAUACAGUGGCGGUCUCGCCGCAGCCUCUCCUGCGCAGUAGUUUGCACAACUCGCACCGGGAGCGCGGCGCGUCCACGUCCGUAAAACACCCAACUUUCUGAAAUGUUGACCUCGGAUCAGGUAGAAACCCCG